GGGUAGUUUGACUGGGGCGGUCUCCUCCCAAAGAGUAACGGAGGAGCACGAAGGUGGGCUAAUCACGGUUGGACAUCGUGAGGUUAGUGCAAUGGCAUAAGCCCGCUUAACUGCGAGAAUGACGGUUCGAGCAGGUGCGAAAGCAGGUCAUAGUGAUCCGGUGGUUCUGUAUGGAAGGGCCAUCGCUCAACGGAUAAAAGGUACUCCGGGGAUAACAGGCUGAUACCGCCCAAGAGUUCAUAUCGACGGCGGUGUUUGGCACCUCGAUGUCGGCUCAUCACAUCCUGGGGCUGAAGUCGGUCCCAAGGGUAUGGCUGUUCGCCAUUUAAAGUGGUACGCGAGCUGGGUUUAGAACGUCGUGAGACAGUUCGGUCCCUAUCUGCCGUGGGCGUUGGAAGAUUGAAGGGGGCUGCUCCUAGUACGAGAGGACCGGAGUGGACGAACCUCUGGUGUUCGGGUUGUGUCGCCAGACGCAUUGCCCGGUAGCUAAGUUCGGAAUUGAUAAGCGCUGAAAGCAUCUAAGCGCGAAGCGAGCCCUGAGAUGAGUCUUCCCUGAUACUUUAAGUAUCCUAAAGGGUUGUUCGAGACUAGAACGUUGAUAGGCAGGGUGUGUAAGCGUUGUGAGGCGUUGAGCUAACCUGUACUAAUUGCCCGUGAGGC
This 660-nucleotide ribosomal RNA is filed under the name Vibrio cholerae. RNAcentral's name for it is "partial 23S ribosomal RNA". It matches the Rfam family "Bacterial large subunit ribosomal RNA", at positions 2263 to 2917 of the family's 2925-position model. Lineage: Bacteria; Pseudomonadati; Pseudomonadota; Gammaproteobacteria; Vibrionales; Vibrionaceae. The record is from RNAcentral.